GUACUUCAAUCAUAAGCCUCUCUAGAGAUUGAAAAACAUUGGAGGUAAUGGCCACCGGCCGAUAGUCAUUGUCCUCUUGAGGGCAUACUUUCUUGGGUACCGGGAUUAUGAUUGAUUUUUUCCAUUAGUUGGGUACUGUGAAUGUGUCUAUGGAGAGCUGAAAUAAUUUGUGCCGUACUGGAGAGAGUUCAUCUGCAAAAUUUUUGAGAAAGAAAGCCGACAGUCCCGCUACUCUGGAGCUCCAGGAAGACCUCCAGACCUUUGGCACCCAACCGCACCACUCAGUCCAAUUACGGGACCCAUUUCGGACUCAGACGCGACGUUGUCCCGCUACUCUGGCGCUCCAGGAAGACCUCCAGACCGUUGGCACCCAACCGCACCACUCAGUCCGAUUACGGGACCCAUUUCGGACUCAGACGCGACGUUUUCCCGCUACUCUGGAGCUCCAGGAAGACAUCCAGACCGUUGGCAACCAACCGCCACACUCAGUCCAAUUACGGGACCCAUUUCGGACUCAGACGCGACGUUGUCCCGCUACUCUGGAGCUCCAGGAAGACAUCCAGACCGUUGGCAACCAACCGCCACACUCAGUCCGAUUACGGGACCCAUUUCGGACUCAGACGCGACGUUGUCCCGCUAAUCUGGAGCUCCAGGAAGACCUCCAGACCGUUGGCAAACAACCGCACCAUUCAGUCCGAUUAGGGGACCCAUUUCGGCCUCAGACGCUACGUUGUCCCGCUACUCUGUUUGUAAUGCUCAUACACCUUUCUUAUACUCAGUGUAUCACACGAAGCCCAUAAAAUUACAGUGAGCCACCUGCUAAAUUUCUUGUUUACUAGACCCCUGGUAGAUAUUAUGACCCCUGGGAGUCUAAACACAACCCAUGGGAGUCUAGAACUUUUGUGCUCUAAAAAAUAAUGCUUAGGGGGUGGGGCAUUGGAGGAAGGCGGGAUGAUUUGAAUGUGCUGUAAUUCUCAAAUGCAACAAAGGUGAGAGUCCCUUUAAGGAACACAAGCGUCGAUUUUAAAACCGUCAAAUUUUCAAAACAUUGAACUUUGCAAAACUUUGAAAGUGUUUCCCUCUUAUAUGAUCCUUUUGAGGUAGAAUUUCAUGUCCGUAUCGAUACAUUUAGC
Molecule: long non-coding RNA, 1133 nt
Filed under: Gadus morhua (Atlantic cod)
Lineage: Eukaryota; Metazoa; Chordata; Actinopteri; Gadiformes; Gadidae
Description: lncRNA (ENSGMOG00000029735.1)
Source: RNAcentral